This 261-nucleotide unclassified non-coding RNA is filed under the name fungal sp. RNAcentral describes it as "partial internal transcribed spacer region". The record is from RNAcentral. Lineage: Eukaryota; Fungi.
AAGUUGUAACAAGGUCUCUGUUAGUAAACUAGCGGAGGGAUUAUUAUAGAGUUGCACAACUCGCUAAACCAUUGUAAACCCUACCUCCCUAUUGCUUCGGCGGGAGGUACCCUCGUCGCCUUAUAAUGGGCUGCUCGUAGGGUGCCCCUAGGCCCCGCGUAGGCGCCUGCUGGAAUAAUUUUAGAAUCUCUUGAUAGUAUAUAGCUUCUCUAAGUCUUACUAAAUAAGUCAAAACUUUUAACAACGGAUCUCUUGGUUCUA